UGGGGAAUAUUGGACAAUGGGCGAAAGCCUGAUCCAGCAAUGCCGCGUGUGUGAAGAAGGCCUGAGGGUUGUAAAGCACUUUCGUUGGGGAAGAAGGGAAUGCGUUGAAUAGGCGCAUUUUUUGACGGUACCUGAAGAAGAAGCACUGGCUAACUCUGUGCCAGCAGCCGCGGUAAUACAGAGGGUGCAAGCGUUAAUCGGAAUGACUGGGCGUAAAGGGCAUGUAGGUGGCUUUUAAGUUGACUGUGAAAUUUCUGGGCUUAACCUGGGAGCUGCAGUCAAGACUGGAAGGCUAGAGUCUGGGAGAGGGAAGUGGAAUUUCCGGUGUAGCGGUGAAAUGCGUAGAUAUCGGAAAGAACAUCAAUGGCGAAGGCAGCUUCCUGGCCUAAGACUGACACUGAGGUGCGAAAGCGUGGGGAGCAAACAGGAUUAGAUACCCUAGUAGUCCCUGAGCGGGCUGGCAAGGCGCAU
Molecule: ribosomal RNA, 471 nt
Filed under: uncultured bacterium
Lineage: Bacteria
Description: bacterial SSU rRNA
Rfam family: Bacterial small subunit ribosomal RNA
Source: RNAcentral